RNAcentral lists this ribosomal RNA (253 nucleotides) under uncultured bacterium. Its description in RNAcentral is "partial 16S ribosomal RNA". It matches the Rfam family "Bacterial small subunit ribosomal RNA", at positions 524 to 776 of the family's 1533-position model. The record is from RNAcentral.
UACGGGGGGAGCAAGCGUUGUUCGGAUUUACUGGGCGUAAAGGGCGCGUAGGCGGCGUGACAAGUCACUUGUGAAAUCUCCGGGCUUAACUCGGAACGGUCAAGUGAUACUGUCGGACUAGAGUACAGAAGGGGCAACUGGAAUUCUCGGUGUAGCGGUGAAAUGCGUAGAUAUCGAGAGGAACACCUGCGGCGAAGGCGGGUUGCUGGGCUGAUACUGACGCUGAGGCGCGAAAGCUAGGGGAGCGAACGGG